GACGAACGCUGGCGGCGUGCUUAACACAUGCAAGUCGAACGAGAAAGCCCUUCGGGGUAAGUACAGUGGCGAACGGGUGAGUAACACGUGGGCAACCUGCCCCAGAGAGCGGGACAACCCGGGGAAACCCGGGCUAAUACCGCAUGAUGCGUCUCCACUUAAGUGGAGCCGCCAAAUGGUAGCUUCGGCCUCCGCCCUGGGAUGGGCUCGCGCCGGAUUAGCUAGUUGGUUGGGGUAACGGCCCACCAAGGCGACGAUCCGUAGCUGGUCUGAGAGGACGAUCAGCCACACUGGGACUGAGACACGGCCCAGACUCCUACGGGAGGCAGCAGUGGGGAAUCUUGCGCAAUGGGCGAAAGCCUGACGCAGCAACGCCGCGUGGGGGAAGAAGGCCUUCGGGUUGUAAACCUCUUUCAGUAGGGACGAAGCUUCCGGGGUUAAUAGCCUACGGGGUGACGGUACCUACAGAAGAAGCCCCGGCUAACUACGUGCCAGCCGCCGCCGUAA
RNAcentral lists this ribosomal RNA (507 nucleotides) under uncultured bacterium. RNAcentral describes it as "partial 16S ribosomal RNA". It matches the Rfam family "Bacterial small subunit ribosomal RNA", at positions 28 to 523 of the family's 1533-position model. The record is from RNAcentral.